RNAcentral lists this ribosomal RNA (253 nucleotides) under uncultured bacterium. Its description in RNAcentral is "partial 16S ribosomal RNA". It matches the Rfam family "Bacterial small subunit ribosomal RNA", at positions 524 to 776 of the family's 1533-position model. The record is from RNAcentral.
UACGAAGGGGGCUAGCGUUGUUCGGAAUUACUGGGCGUAAAGGGCGCGUAGGCGGUGUGUCAAGUCAGGCGUGAAAGCCCCGGGCUCAACCUGGGAACCGCGCUUGAGACUGGCACGCUCGAGUUCGGGAGAGGAUGGUGGAAUUCCCAGUGUAGAGGUGAGAUUCGUAGAUAUUGGGAAGAACACCGAUGGCGAAGGCAGCCAUCUGGACCGACACUGACGCUGAGGCGCGAAAGCGUGGGGAGCAAACAGG